RNAcentral lists this ribosomal RNA (115 nucleotides) under Natronospira bacteriovora. Lineage: Bacteria; Pseudomonadati; Pseudomonadota; Gammaproteobacteria; Natronospirales; Natronospiraceae. The record is from RNAcentral.
CCUGGCGGCCAUAGCGAGUGUGAACCACCCGAUUCCAUUUCGAACUCGGAAGUGAAACCGCUCAGCGCCGAUGGUAGUGUGGGGUUUCCCAUGUGAGAGUAGGUCACCGCCAGGC